CAUCAAUCACUACUCAAAACAAAAACAAAAAAAAAUUCCUAGAAAGUCGGAAACUUUAUCCUUGAAUGAGAAAAACCCAGAUGGGAAAAUCAAAGAUUGAUGUUGUUGUUAUUGUUGUUGUUCAUCAUCAUCUUCUUAAUUUUUGUGCAUGGUGUGAAAAUGACAGUGCAGUUAGGGGUUAGGAAAGAGAGGUGAAAUGACAGACAACCUCAACAAACAUGAAUGAAUGAAUAAACAAACAAACAUAAGUAAGUAAACAUACAAAAACAAAAAGGUCUAGAUCUGAUUCUGUGCAAAUAGGAAUGGAAAAUUAGUUAUUUGUUUAGUUAAUCACACUACAGAUAUGAAGAUUAGCUUAAUUAUUUUUUUAGGAAAACGACAUGUACCGAUGUUAAUUGUUAAUUGUUAACCAAGCUAAAAUAAUCCUUUUUUUUUUUCCAAUGUUCAUUUUUU
This 453-nucleotide long non-coding RNA is filed under the name Trifolium pratense (red clover). RNAcentral's name for it is "long non-coding RNA (TPRA_LNC010139)". The record is from RNAcentral. Lineage: Eukaryota; Viridiplantae; Streptophyta; Magnoliopsida; Fabales; Fabaceae.